UGCAAGUCGUACGGGUAGUUUUUAACUCUAGUGGCGACGGGUGAGUAACACGUGAGAAUUUGCCUUUAGGAGGGGGGACAACAGUUGGAAACGACUGCUAAUACCCCAUAUGCUUUCGAGUGAAAUGGAUUUAUAUUUAUCCGCCUAGAGAGAAGCUCGCGGCUGAUUAGCUUGUUGGUAAGGUAAGAGCUUACCAAGGCGACGAUCAGUAUCUGGUUUGAGAGGACGAUCAGACACACUGGAACUGAGACACGGUCCAGACUCCUACGGGAGGCAGCAGUGGGGAAUUUUCCGCAAUGGGCGAAAGCCUGACGGAGCAAUACCGCGUGAGGGAAGAAUGCCUAUGGGUUGUAAACCUCUUUUUCAGGGAGGAAUAAAAUGACGUGUACCUGAAGAAUAAGCAUCGGCUAACUCCGUG
RNAcentral lists this ribosomal RNA (418 nucleotides) under uncultured bacterium. RNAcentral describes it as "bacterial SSU rRNA". It matches the Rfam family "Bacterial small subunit ribosomal RNA", at positions 56 to 507 of the family's 1533-position model. The record is from RNAcentral.